Hemiscyllium ocellatum (epaulette shark) is the source of this 399-nucleotide long non-coding RNA. RefSeq lists it as uncharacterized. The record is from RefSeq and is a predicted model, not a curated record. The transcript is spliced from 4 exons. NCBI's taxonomy places the organism in Eukaryota, Metazoa, Chordata, Chondrichthyes, Orectolobiformes, Hemiscylliidae.
UGCUGCGUUUACCCAGAGGGCAGUUAAGAGUCAACUGCGUUGCUAUAUGUCUGGAGUCCCAUGCAGACCAGACCAGAUCCCAGUGAUCAGUGCCAAAGCCCCAUUGCCUGUGGAGAGGGUGAUGUUUGAUUUCCCUGUCCAGCUGCAGUUCAUGUGGUGAAGGUGCUCCCACAAUGUGGUUGGGGAUCUGCACUGGAACCCUUCUGUUUGCGGGACAAAUAUAUAUAAGUGACAUGGAUUAAAAUCUAAUUUGGUCAACACAUUCAUGAACCAAGCAAUGAUUCCUCAUCCAACACUCACAGGAAAUAUCUGAUGCCUUCUCAUUUGAAUGUUCACAGAAAUCAUUGGAUUAAUAUUACAAAUGAAGUUACAUCUAAUUGUUUUAGACUCCAAUCAUUA